RNAcentral lists this ribosomal RNA (440 nucleotides) under uncultured bacterium. RNAcentral's name for it is "partial 16S ribosomal RNA". It matches the Rfam family "Bacterial small subunit ribosomal RNA", at positions 338 to 795 of the family's 1533-position model. The record is from RNAcentral.
CCUACGGGGAGCAGCAGUGGGGGAUAUUGCACAAUGGGGGGAACCCUGAUGCAGCGACGCCGCGUGGGUGAAGAAGCGCCUCGGCGCGUAAAGCCCUGUCAGCAGGUAAGAAAAUGACGGUACCUGUAGAAGAAGCCCCGGCUAACUACGUGCCAGCAGCCGCGGUAAUCAGUACGGGGCAAGCGUUAUCCGGCUUUACUGGGUGUAAAGGGGGCGCAGACGGCGAUGCAAGCCAGGAGUGAAAGCCCGGGGCCCAACCCCGGGACUGCUCUUGGAACUCCGUGGCUGGAGGGCAGGAGGGGCAGGCGGAAUUCCUGGGGUAGCGGUGAAAUGCGUAGAUAUCAGGAGGAACACCGGUGGCGAAGGCGGCGUGCUGGAGUGCAACUGACGUUGAGGCCCGAAAGCGUGGGGAGCAAACAGGAUUAGAUACCCGGGUAGUC